Molecule: long non-coding RNA, 1073 nt
Filed under: Anser cygnoides (Swan goose)
Lineage: Eukaryota; Metazoa; Chordata; Aves; Anseriformes; Anatidae
Description: lncRNA (ENSACDG00005016411.1)
Source: RNAcentral
CUACACAAGAGCUGUGACUUUUGGCUGAUGGAUAUUGCAGUGGCCGAAGUGCUUUGCAGCAAAGUAAGUCUGGUUCCCCCCUUUUUAACGUGGGGAUAUCUACAGUCAUCAUAGUCUAGAUAUUAUUUAUAUAUUAACCAAGGAGAGUCUAUCUAAUUCAAAAUGAUGUUUUAGAAUUUUUAUAUGGAGAAAUGUUGCUUUCUAGCCAGGAAGCUUCUCUUUGGUACCUUGGAACCCAACGAAGCUGACUUCAAGGGUCUCUCCGGUGUUGUCAUGGGUGGCUUAGCACCAGGAGUUACAGUAGGCACGGUCCACAAGUCUGUGGUUUCCUCAGUGGCAAAUAAGAAACACCUAUAAAGUGUUUCUAAUAUCAGUAUGUUUGAUUAUUCCUGUCUGUUGGUGCAUCCUUAUAGGUGGUCUUACCCGUGGGGAACUAAGAAAGCGUGGCUGAUUCACCCUCCUCUCCUGAUCCUGGACUUGACCCUUUUCGAGCAGUGGGAGGAGCAGAGGCCAGAAAGGCACACAGAACCAGCUAUAGCAUGAGGCAAGGCAUCACUGUUAGCAUGCUUCAAAUUCCUGCCAGUGACACGCUUGUUUGAAGAAAUUAGAAACAGAGCUUACUGACACGUACAUAAUGGAUAGCACCCCGUUCUUCCUUGGCAGGCCCUCUUGGUGAAGAAAUCAUUCUUUUCCCAUCAAAAUUGGGAGUUUGAACCUAAAGGCAAAAUCAGCAUUGUUACAAACCAUGGGAGCAUUGAUGUUCUGUAUUUUCCUGCUCCUGGUGCUCAGCUCCCCGUGGUGUCAGCAGAAGAUGUACAGAGAGAGGAACAACCCAGCAGGGCCAGCCCAGCACGUGGAUGGAGGUCAGUCUUCUCCUUCCUCUUCUCCGUCUCCUCCCCUCCACUGGCACAAGGGCUUCUUCUGUCACUUUUACACUUGAAGGAUCUCAUAGCCCGAGUUUCAGGCUGUGAAGGCUUUGACCAGACCAUUGGAGGAUAUAUCCUGGCUUUAGGUAGGAGGCUGUGUGAUGCUUCAGAGGGGAAAGUUAGCAGGAUCUUUCAUUUUGUGUCCUG